This 508-nucleotide ribosomal RNA is filed under the name uncultured bacterium. RNAcentral describes it as "partial 16S ribosomal RNA". It matches the Rfam family "Bacterial small subunit ribosomal RNA", at positions 28 to 507 of the family's 1533-position model. The record is from RNAcentral.
GACGAGCGCUGGCGGCGUGCCUAAUACAUGCAAGUCGAACGCUUCUUUCCUCCCGAGUGCUUGCACUCAAUUGGAAAGAGGAGUGGCGGACGGGUGAGUAACACGUGGUUAACCUACCCAUCAACGGGGGAUAACACUUGCUAACAGGUGCUAAUACCGCAUAACAGUUUAUGCCGCAUGGCAUAAGAGUGAUAGGCGCUUUCGGGUGUCGCUGAUGGAUGGAUCCGCGGUGCAUUAGCUAGUUGGUGAGGUAACGGCUCACCAAGGCAACGAUGCAUAGCCGACCUGAGAGGGUGAUCGGCCACACUGGGACUGAGACACGGCCCAGACUCCUACGGGAGGCAGCAGUAGGGAAUCUUCGGCAAUGGACGAAAGUCUGACCGAGCAACGCCGCGUGAGUGAAGAAGGUUUUCGGAUCGUAAGACUCUGUUGUUAGGGAAGAACAAGGACGUAAGUAACUGAACGUCUCCUGACGGUACCUAACCAGAAAGCCACGGCUAACUACGUG